RNAcentral lists this ribosomal RNA (514 nucleotides) under uncultured bacterium. RNAcentral's name for it is "partial 16S ribosomal RNA". It matches the Rfam family "Bacterial small subunit ribosomal RNA", at positions 28 to 523 of the family's 1533-position model. The record is from RNAcentral.
GAUGAACGCUGGCGGCGUGCCUAAUACAUGCAAGUUGAGCGAACAGAUGAGAAGCUUGCUUCUCUGAUGUUAGCGGCGGACGGGUGAGUAACACGUGGGUAACCUACCUAUAAGACUGGGAUAACUCCGGGAAACCGGGGCUAAUACCGGAUAAUAUUUUGAACCGCAUGGUUCAAUAGUGAAAGACGGUUUCGGCUGUCACUUAUAGAUGGACCCGCGCCGUAUUAGCUAGUUGGUAAGGUAACGGCUUACCAAGGCGACGAUACGUAGCCGACCUGAAGGGGUGAUCGGCCGCACUGGAACUGAGACACGGUCCAGACUCCUACAGGAGGCAGCAGUAGGGAAUCUUCCGCAAUGGGCGAAAGCCUGACGGAGCAACGCCGCGUGAGUGAUGAAGGUCUCCGGAUCGUAAAACUCUGUUGUUAGGGAAGAACAAAUUUGUUAGUAACUGGACAAGUCUUGACGGUACCUAACCAGAAAGCCACGGCUAACUACGUGCCAGCCGCCGCGGUAA